RNAcentral lists this ribosomal RNA (636 nucleotides) under Pseudomonas aeruginosa. Its description in RNAcentral is "partial 23S ribosomal RNA". It matches the Rfam family "Bacterial large subunit ribosomal RNA", at positions 2309 to 2925 of the family's 2925-position model. Lineage: Bacteria; Pseudomonadati; Pseudomonadota; Gammaproteobacteria; Pseudomonadales; Pseudomonadaceae. The record is from RNAcentral.
UACGAAGGUGCGCUCAGACCGGUCGGAAAUCGGUCGCAGAGUAUAAAGGCAAAAGCGCGCUUGACUGCGAGACAGACACGUCGAGCAGGUACGAAAGUAGGUCUUAGUGAUCCGGUGGUUCUGUAUGGAAGGGCCAUCGCUCAACGGAUAAAAGGUACUCCGGGGAUAACAGGCUGAUACCGCCCAAGAGUUCAUAUCGACGGCGGUGUUUGGCACCUCGAUGUCGGCUCAUCACAUCCUGGGGCUGAAGCCGGUYCCAAGGGUAUGGCUGUUCGCCAUUUAAAGUGGUACGCGAGCUGGGUUUAGAACGUCGUGAGACAGUUCGGUCCCUAUCUGCCGUGGACGUUUGAGAUUUGAGAGGGGCUGCUCCUAGUACGAGAGGACCGGAGUGGACGAACCUCUGGUGUUCCGGUUGUCACGCCAGUGGCAUUGCCGGGUAGCUAUGUUCGGAAAAGAUAACCGCUGAAAGCAUCUAAGCGGGAAACUUGCCUCAAGAUGAGAUCUCACUGGGAACUUGAUUCCCCUGAAGGGCCGUCGAAGACUACGACGUUGAUAGGCUGGGUGUGUAAGCGUUGUGAGGCGUUGAGCUAACCAGUACUAAUUGCCCGUGAGGCUUGACCAUAUAACACCCAAACA